CUUAAAUUCAAAUUUCAAAAAUGGGAUUUGCAUCUCAACGGCAAAAUUGGCACAAUUUCUCCUUUCUCAUCUCUUAAAAACCUGAUUCCCCCUGUGCCUGUUUGCGGUGUACGUCUAACGCUCUCUCUCCAUCAAGAAUGGCCCCCAUUCAAACCCCUUGCCAAUCUCACCGGAGACCUAACCAUUUUCUCUCUCUUCCACUCGCCUCCACUCCUCUCUCUCUUCGCCCUAUCUCGCCACCACCUCUUUCGGCCCCAAAUCCUUCACUCACAGCAGCGCCACCGCUAUCUGUGGCUCCUAUUUCACAGCCUCGAAUGGCCAUUUGUCUCUGUGCCUCCACUCUCGCAUCCACUAAAAGCCACCACCUCUCUGUGGGGUCCUCUCUCUGUGAUUCUUCUCUCAUAGCCACGAACAACCGCCACCUCUCUGCGGGUCCUCUCUCUGUGAUUCUUCUCUCAUAGCCAUGAACAACCGCCACCUUUCUUCCACUCCAAGGAAAUCAAGAAGCCCAACAACAACUAAUAAGUUAUUCUCUUCAAUGCCUUCACUCCCAAACGGUUAUUUCUUUGCUCUCUAAAGUCUGAGAAGGGUACUAGAUGUCUAGAGAAGAGGAAGAAAAUGCUGCAGAGCUCAAGAUAUGAGAAGGUUUGUCUUGCUUUUCUUUUACCUUUAUAUUCUCUCUCUUUUUUUUUAAUAAUCUUCCUCUUCUUAGUAUUUCUUGUUGUUAUCUUUAGCUCUUGCUUUUCUUUUUCUUUUCGUUAUAUGUUCGUGUAUUUAUUGUCCUAGGGAUACUUUCCAACUGAUUAGGCUUCAUGCCAUGCGGUUGUCUUAGAGAACUCUUUAAAUUGGAAAGUUCUUUUGAGCAGAAAAUGCAUGCUUUAGGGUAUCGCAUGACUUGUAUCUCCAUUUCAAGUUUAAAAUCGGGUUGAUUGAUUAGGUGCUGAAGCUGAUGAAAAAAAUUGUCAGGUUCCAAUUUCGUAGUUAGGUUCCUCUUCUUAUUUAGAACUCAGUAUAUCUAUGUCAAAAACAUUAGUGUGCCAUUCUUGUUGGAAAAUGGUCUAUCAAGGCCUAAAUUCCAGUAGUCUCUCAUUCAGUGUAAGUGAUUGAGAGAUUGAAAUCUUGGUGCCUUAUGAAAUGGAGCCCAAAUUCUUAACCCGAGUAUGCAUGAGGCAUCGAGAGUUCACGUGUUGAGAAAAUAAUUUCUCAAGUAGAUGUGAGGGUCACCUCCUAGUCAGGAUUUUAUAGGUGAACCUCAUGUUUAGCUACGAUUGGCCUGGGCUUGGAGAAUCCA
Non-coding RNA from Amborella trichopoda, 1291 nucleotides. NCBI's taxonomy places the organism in Eukaryota, Viridiplantae, Streptophyta, Magnoliopsida, Amborellales, Amborellaceae. The record is from RefSeq and is a predicted model, not a curated record.